AUCGACUCAAAAUGCUACAUAUGCCCUUUUUGCACGAAAGCCUUCAAUUGUACAAGAAAAUAGCUCUUAUAAAUAUUUCUCACAUUUUGCUUAAAUGUUUGGGAUUUAUUCCUAUAUUGACAGGCUUGUGAACAUAAUACAGAAGCUGCAAGAUGUGACAAGUUUACAAGAAAAUACUGAGCAGUCAAGUAUAUUGGCAAAGGAAUCUAUACCACUGCAAACAAUAAAGACAGAACCUGUUAAAAUUAGGGAGAGAAAAGAGAGACGAAGGAGCCCUCAUAGAACAGAAGCAAGAGAAGAGCAAAUAAGCCAAGGUUACAAGUCUUCUGAGAAGACAGAGA
Long non-coding RNA from Orbicella faveolata, 341 nucleotides. NCBI's taxonomy places the organism in Eukaryota, Metazoa, Cnidaria, Anthozoa, Scleractinia, Merulinidae. The record is from RefSeq and is a predicted model, not a curated record.